GACGAACGCUGGCGGCGUGCCUAAUACAUGCAAGUCGAGCGGACAAAGAGGAGCUUGCUCCUCGAUGUUAGCGGCGGACGGGUGAGUAACACGUGGGCAACCUGCCUGUAAGACUGGGAUAACUUCGGGAAACCGGAGCUAAUACCGGAUAAUGCUUUUGAACUCAUGUUCGACAGCUGAAAGAUGGUUUCGGCUAUCACUUACAGAUGGGCCCGCGGCGCAUUAGCUAGUUGGUGAGGUAACGGCUCACCAAGGCAACGAUGCGUAGCCGACCUGAGAGGGGGCUGGCCCACCCGGGAACGGAAAACGGCCCAAGCCCCCUCGGGGGGGCAGCAGGGGGAAAUUUCCGGAAAGGGACAAAGGUCGGAGGGGGCACCCCCGGGGGAGUGAUGAGGUUUUUGGAUUGGAAAACCUUUUUUUUAGGGGAAAAAAAAGUCCGGGGGAAACUGCGGUUCCUUGGCGGUCCCUAACCAAGAAACCCCCGGUAACCUACG
This 494-nucleotide ribosomal RNA is filed under the name uncultured bacterium. RNAcentral's name for it is "partial 16S ribosomal RNA". It matches the Rfam family "Bacterial small subunit ribosomal RNA", at positions 28 to 505 of the family's 1533-position model. The record is from RNAcentral.